UCAUUCGUUCCACUAUUCGGCGCCAGUUCUCUCUUCCACUGUUCUUCUUCGAUUUUGUCGCUCUCUUCCAUAGCUUCUGUCGCAACCCCUUCUAUUUAUUUCGUUGUGCCCAUGGGUUUUCGAUUCCGUCUUGCAAGCUCUCAGUUUACAAAACAAAAAGUUAUGCAUCUUCUCUUUCCCUUCUAUUUUCAUUUUCUUGCGAAAGGGCAAAGUUCCCACUUUUGAUUGUUCCAUUUGGGCGUCCUCCACAAAUUAGUGUUCAUUUGGUGAUUUCGUGGACAGUGCAAACGUCGUUGAGGGUGGACUUUGGUUUAUUGGAUGACUUUCGUGGGACAACGGUGGAUACUUUCUAUAUUGGAGGAAGAAACGAGUGAUAUGAACGUCAUACAAAGGAACUUCAUUAAUGAUAUUAAGACCCAAUCUUCAAUGAAUAUGGUUCAAAAUGUGCAAUAUAAUGGUGUUUUAUACCUCCUCGCAUCCGUCAAACACCAUUUUUCGAUGAUGGUUGUGUUUGUCAAUAACAUGCCAUAUAUAUUUUUAGAAUUAUUUAAUGUAGGUUGGACCAUGAUUGUAUUGCAUAAGUAAUAUGUAGAAAUUCACACUUUAAUUAUUGAUAUUGUGUAAGUUAUAUGUUCAGAUAGAACGUUUUGGGGCAGGAUUUCAUCCAGGAAUUUAUAUUCGCAACAGAUAUAUACCAAAUAUUGUGUACUUAAGUGGGGGUGGGUCAUUCUUAUUGACAAUAUAGUUCACAAUUUAGUUGGGGUGGGUUAGGCCUGCAUAUGAAAGGCGACAUAGAUUGUAAGGUGUGGCUUUCCCCAUGACUUUAUUUUAUCAUCAUAUGCAAAAAAAAUUCUAAAAUAUUUCCAAUAUAUAUGCACAAAACAGAGUGUAAAUAAGUGGCAAAUGUAGACAGACUUUUUGCACAAUUGGUCAAACAGAUUCGUCUUCACUUUUUAUUACAGUGUGUAAAACGGAUGGGUAAAACCUUCAUGUGGAAGACAACAAAGGUUAUGGGAUGUGGCUUUCCCCAAGACUUUAUUUUGACAUCAUGUGCAAAAAACACUCUAAAAUAUUUCG
Molecule: long non-coding RNA, 1077 nt
Organism: Vigna unguiculata (cowpea)
Lineage: Eukaryota; Viridiplantae; Streptophyta; Magnoliopsida; Fabales; Fabaceae
Source: RefSeq, a predicted model, not a curated record